Peromyscus maniculatus bairdii (prairie deer mouse) is the source of this 229-nucleotide non-coding RNA. Lineage: Eukaryota; Metazoa; Chordata; Mammalia; Rodentia; Cricetidae. The record is from RefSeq and is a predicted model, not a curated record.
UCAUCUCUGGGGAAAAAAAGAUUCUAUGGGUUGAACAGAUGGCUCAGCAGUUAAGAGCACUGACUGCUCUUCCAGAGGCCCCAGGUUCAAUUCCCAGCACCCACAUGGCAGCUCACAUUUGUCUGUAACACUAGUUCCAGGACUUCUGACACUUUCACAUAGACAUAAAUGCAGGCAAAACACCACUGAACAUUAAAAAAAUAAUAAAUUGUAUGUAUAUAUACAUACA